AGCAGCCGCGGUAAUUCCAGCUCCAAUAGCGUAUAUUAAAGUUGUUGCAGUUAAAAGCUCGUAGUUGAAUUUCGGGAUCAAUUAAUCGGUCGUGCCUCUGGUACGCACUGGUUUUAUUGGUUUCUCCCUUCUGACGAACCAGGAUGUCAUUAAUUUGGUGUCUUGGAGAAUCAGGACUGUUACUUUGAAAAAUUAGAGUGUUUAAAGCAGGCUAACGCUUGAAUACAUUAGCAUGGAAUAAUGAAAUAGGACGUUUGAUCCUAUUUUGUUGGUUUCUAGGAUCGACGUAAUGAUUAAUAGGGAUAGUUGGGGGCAUUAGUAUUCAAUUGUCAGAGGUGAAAUUUCUUGGAUUUAUUGAAGACUAACUACUGCGAAAGCAUUUGCCAAGGAUGUUUUCAUUAAUCAAGAACGAAAGUUAGGGAUCGAAGACGAUCAGAUACCGUCGUAGUCUUAACCAUAAACUAUGCCGACUAGGGAUCGGAUGAUGUUAAUUUUUUAAUGACUCAUUCGGCGCCUUACG
Molecule: unclassified non-coding RNA, 520 nt
Filed under: uncultured Glomus
Lineage: Eukaryota; Fungi; Glomeromycota; Glomeromycetes; Glomerales; Glomeraceae
Description: SSU rRNA
Rfam family: Eukaryotic small subunit ribosomal RNA
Source: RNAcentral